Molecule: ribosomal RNA, 427 nt
Filed under: uncultured bacterium
Lineage: Bacteria
Description: bacterial SSU rRNA
Rfam family: Bacterial small subunit ribosomal RNA
Source: RNAcentral
UGGGGAAUAUUGGACAAUGGGCGAAAGCCUGAUCCAGCAAUGCCGCGUGCAGGAUGAAGGCCUUCGGGUUGUAAACUGCUUUUGUACGGAGCGAAAAGGUCUGCCCUAAUACGGUGGGCUCAUGACGGUACCGUAAGAAUAAGCACCGGCUAACUACGUGCCAGCAGCCGCGGUAAUACGUAGGGUGCGAGCGUUAAUCGGAAUUACUGGGCGUAAAGCGUGCGCAGGCGGUUAUGCAAGACAGAGGUGAAAUCCCCGGGCUCAACCUGGGAACUGCCUUUGUGACUGCAUAGCUAGAGUACGGUAGAGGGGGAUGGAAUUCCGCGUGUAGCAGUGAAAUGCGCAGAUAUGCGGAGGAACACCGAUGGCGAAGGCAAUCCCCUGGACCUGUACUGACGCUCAUGCACGAAAGCGUGGGGAGCAAACA